Long non-coding RNA from Papaver somniferum (opium poppy), 609 nucleotides. RefSeq lists it as uncharacterized. The record is from RefSeq and is a predicted model, not a curated record. NCBI's taxonomy places the organism in Eukaryota, Viridiplantae, Streptophyta, Magnoliopsida, Ranunculales, Papaveraceae. The transcript is spliced from 4 exons.
CUCGGAAACUCACUCCGUUUCUCUCCCUUCAUCUCUCCAGUUUUCUUCGAUCAAUUCAUAGAGAAAUUCAAGUGACUCUCGUCGAAAUCGUUAAUUUCAUUUUGAUUCAGAACAGUGAAGCAAUGGUUUCAAUUGACAUGCCUGUUGGCCCAUCUGAAGUUCUGGUUGUUGCUUAGAGGUAGUUGGAAUAUUCCGACUCCUAAUACUCUGUUUUUAGCAUCCGCAAUAUCCUAAUAUUCGAAAGCCUCCACGGAUUGUUAUGUGCCAACAAGUUCCAAAUUCAGAUUAAGACAUUUUCUGUUGCUUGGGUUCUUCACGUCUACAACACAGGAUGAUGAAGGUUUGCUACAGAUUAGUCUUGAGGAGGUUGUUAUGGAUUCUGCAAGUCUUGUGCUUCUCAGAUUUUACUUCAUUCUCCACUGGGAUGAAGGACAGUAAAGCUUGAAUCUGAGUGAGAUAGAUUACAGUUGGAACUCAUCUUGUCAGAACACUUUUUGCAUGCUCUUGUUUAGGAAUUGGAUCUGGUGUGUAUUUAUUGAGUUAAACAAUUUGAGUCAGCAAAAAUGUGUAAUUUCUCUAUUUGUCAGCCUGUUUUCUGUUCAAUGACAU